AUUGAACGCUGGCGGCAGGCCUAACACAUGCAAGUCGAGCGGAGCGGCGGACGGGUGAGUAAUGCCUAGGAAUCUGCCUGGUAGUGGGGGAUAACGUCCGGAAACGGGCGCUAAUACCGCAUACUAUCAGAUGAGCCUAGGUCGGAUUAGCUAGAUGGUGGGGUAAAGGCCUACCAAGGCGCCGAUCCGUAACUGGUCUGAGAGGAUGAUCAGUCACACGGGAAGUGAGACACGGUCAAGAGUCCUACGGGAGGCAGCAGUGGGAAAUAGUGGACAAUGGGGGAAAGCCUGACCCAGCCAUGCCGCGUGUGUGAAGAAGGGCUUCGGAUUGUAAAGCACUUGAAGUUGGGAGGCGUUACCAACAGAAUAAGCACCGGCUAACUUCGUGCUAGCAGCCGCGGUAAUAC
This 407-nucleotide ribosomal RNA is filed under the name uncultured bacterium. RNAcentral describes it as "partial 16S ribosomal RNA". It matches the Rfam family "Bacterial small subunit ribosomal RNA", at positions 30 to 526 of the family's 1533-position model. The record is from RNAcentral.